GUCCUGACGGAGCAGAGGGGGUGAGUCUUCAACAUGGUCCUAAUCCCAGCACGGCUGUAAGCAGAAAGAGCAAUUUCUGUCUCUUCAAGGCUCUUGGGGCUGCGAUUUAAUCAGGUGGAUGUAGAAUAAAGCCCUGGGAUUUGAGGGUAGGAAGGCCUUACAUGCUCGCUGUGUACAAGCAUGGGGAAGGAGUGAGCAUAGUUGCCUGGGGACCCAAGGAACACACAUGCAGGCGUAAGGAAAAAGUGCAUGAAGGAAACAGUUAUUUUACAUACCCUCUCUGCAGUACCCCGAGUUAACAAUCAGGUAGCGGACUUGGAAGUGCUCAGUUCUUUCAUACAAACCACACAUUUACACAAAAUAUGUUGAAGCAUAAUACAGUUCAGUUACAAUUAGAAUAUAAAUGGGUUGUUCAACAAUAGGAACAGUCUCUUCUGCUCUGAUAUCAAGGAGCUUUUACCUACUGCCUGUCUGUGCCUUGGAAACGUGCUAGUAAAUGGCACUCUUGUAACAGGAAACUUAAACAUUUUGUUUUAGGAAAAUAUUUAAACACGUGAGCUCCAGAUCUAAUGACAAGUGCCAUUUUAAGUCAUAUCACAUUUGUACUUAAUCUGUGUUUAAGCUGAACUGUAUUCCAGGCUACAUUUAAGCACAUUUCCCAAAAUCAGGGCUAAUACCUGGUAUGGUCAAUUUAAAUCAAUGAUGUUCUUUUCAUCAGUAUUACUAGUCCCUGAAUUGUCCACAACUGCAGAGGUGAAUUAACUGUUAUUACAUCCAGAUAUUACAGCCAGUCAGGCUGUGAAGUAGGAUAAUAACCAUUAUAUCACAUUACUUUAAGUCCUAAGAGAAGCUAAGGGAAAAAAGCAUUACUAAAUAUUCAUUAAAUUUGGGAAAGCUCAAGUGAAAAAGUGCAUUGCAAUAUUAAGAAUGAACAUUCAGAUUGAAGAAGGAACCUUAUCUUUAUUGAUUCUGUCAUUGCAGUUGACUGGAGAGAAAGAACUAAUGUCUGAAAGGUUAUUUUCAGCGCAUGAUUGCUCUGAGACUGUUACAAAAAAACAGUCAUUAAUAAUAAUUUCUCACACAGUCUGCCAGGAUGGUUGUGUCCCCUUGCCUGUCCAGCUGGAUGUGCAGAAAGUCAGAAGUCAGGACAAUUCCAGAAGGACAGAGACAACAGUGGAAAGGGACUUGCAGCAUGACAGAAAGGCGCACCAGAGCGCUGCUGCUGCUUUUGCAACACCAGAAACUAGUGAUCAUGCCCAGGACAUAGCGAACAUUGCAUCCCACCUGCUAGACGUGGAACGAAAGCAGCACCAUGUCACUUCGACAGCCAGUUUCAACAAGGCCAACAGCCGUUUUCAAGCAUAAUAUCAGCUUCCAGAGAUGAUGUCCGUAUUAGCCUCUUCCAAAAUGGCUAGUUAUCUUCAAAAGGUACGUGCUAGUAACUAUUCACAUGCUGAAACAGAGAGACAGCUUGGUGGUGCCCGACGUGCUGCCCUGUGGGGCAUGGGGAGCCACCGGCCUCCCGGCA
Molecule: long non-coding RNA, 1528 nt
Filed under: Anas platyrhynchos platyrhynchos (common mallard)
Lineage: Eukaryota; Metazoa; Chordata; Aves; Anseriformes; Anatidae
Description: lncRNA (ENSAPLG00000017991.1)
Source: RNAcentral